UACAGAGGUCCCAAGCGUUGUUCGGAUUCAUUGGGCGUAAAGGGUGCGUAGGCGGCGCGGUAAGUCGGGUGUGAAAUCUCGGAGCUUAACUCCGAAACUGCAUUCGAUACUGCCGUGCUUGAGGACUGGAGAGGAGACUGGAAUUUACGGUGUAGCGGUGAAAUGCGUAGAUAUCGUAAGGAAGACCAGUGGCGAAGGCGGGUCUCUGGACAGUUCCUGACACUGAGACACGAAGGCCAGGGGAGCGAACGGG
Molecule: ribosomal RNA, 253 nt
Filed under: uncultured bacterium
Lineage: Bacteria
Description: partial 16S ribosomal RNA
Rfam family: Bacterial small subunit ribosomal RNA
Source: RNAcentral